RNAcentral lists this non-coding RNA (28 nucleotides) under Mus musculus (house mouse). Lineage: Eukaryota; Metazoa; Chordata; Mammalia; Rodentia; Muridae. The record is from RNAcentral.
UAACAUGUGAAAAGGAACAAAAGGGCUC